This 448-nucleotide ribosomal RNA is filed under the name uncultured bacterium. RNAcentral's name for it is "bacterial SSU rRNA". It matches the Rfam family "Bacterial small subunit ribosomal RNA", at positions 328 to 795 of the family's 1533-position model. The record is from RNAcentral.
AUUCCAGACUCCUACGGGAGGCAGCAGUCGAGAAUCAUUCACAAUGGGGGAAACCCUGAUGGUGCGACGCCGCGUGAGUGAAGAAGUCAUUCGUGAUGUAAAGCUCUAUCAGCAGGGAAGAAAAUGACGGUACCUGACUAAGAAGCCCCGGCUAACUCCGUGCCAGCAGCCGCGGUAAUACGGAGGAUGCGAGCGUUAUCCGGAUUUAUUGGGUUUAAAGGGUGCGCAGGCGGCGAGUUAAGUCAGCGGUAAAAUUGCGGGGCUCACCCCCGACGAGCCGUUGAAACUGGCUUGCUAGAGUGGGCGAGAAGUAUGCGGAAUGCGUGGUGUAGCGGUGAAAUGCAUAGAUAUCACGCAGAACUCCGAUUGCGAAGGCAGCAUACCGGCGCUCAACUGACGCUCAUGCACGAAAGCGUGGGUAUCGAACAGGAUUAGAUACCCCUGUAUC